AGCAGCCGCGGUAAUUCCAGCUCCAAUAGCGUAUAUUAAAGUUGUUGCAGUUAAAAAGCUCGUAGUUGAAUUUCGGGAUCAAUAUGUUGGUCGUGCCUUGGUAUGUACUGAUUUAUUGGUUUCUUCCUUCUGACGAACCAUGAUGUCAUUAAUUUGGUGCCUUGAGGAAUCAGGACUGUUACUUUGAAAAAAUUAGAGUGUUUAAAGCAGGCUCACGCUUGAAUACAUUAGCAUGGAAUAAUGAAAUAGGACGUUUGAUUCUAUUUUGUUGGUUUCUAGGAUCGACGUAAUGAUUAAUAGGGAUAGUUGGGGGCAUUAGUAUUCAAUUGUCAGAGGUGAAAUUCUUGGAUUUAUUGAAGACUAACUACUGCGAAAGCAUUUGCCAAGGAUGUUUUCAUUAAUCAAGACGAAAGUUAGGGGAUCGAAGACGAUCAGAU
Molecule: ribosomal RNA, 437 nt
Filed under: uncultured Glomeromycotina
Lineage: Eukaryota; Fungi; Glomeromycota
Description: SSU rRNA
Rfam family: Eukaryotic small subunit ribosomal RNA
Source: RNAcentral